CGCGACCCCAGGUCAGGCGGGAGCAACCCGCCGAGUAAGGGCAUAUCAAAAUAAGCGGAGGAAAAGAAACUUACCAGGAUUCCCCUAGAACGCGCGAGCGAAAACCGGAAGAGCCCAGCUUGAGAAUCGGGCGCCCUCGGGCGUCCGAAUUUGUAGUCUGGAGAAGCGUCCUCAGCGGCGGACCGGGCCCAAGUCCCCUGGAAGGGGGCGCCGGAAGAGGGUGAGAGCCCCGCGUGCCCGACCUGUCGCACCACGAGGCGCAUGUCUGCGAGUCGGGUUGUUUGGGAGCAGCCCCAAUCGGGCGGUAAAUUCCGUCCAAGGCUAAAUACUGGGCGAGAGGACCGAUAGCGAAAAAGUACUGCGAGGAAAGAUGAAAAGGACUUUGAAAGAGAGUCAAGAGUGCUUUGAAAUGUCGGAGGGAAAGCGGAUGGGGGCCGGCGAUGCGCCCCGGUCGGAAUUGUGGAACGGCGGCAAGCCGGUCCGCGAUCGGCUCGGGCGCGGACCGACGCGGAUCGCAGCGGCGGCACAAGGCCCGGGCACUAGAAACCCCGCUGGAGAGCCGUCCAGCGAUCGUGCACAGCACGCGCGCGCCGUCAACGGUCGUGCCCCGCACCAGGCGCGCUCUGGCGUCGGCGGCGGGCUCCCCAUUCGGCCGCGUCUUGGAAACACGGACAAGGAGUCUGACAUGUGUGCGAAGUCAACGGACGAGUAAACGUAAGCGCAGGAAGCCGACUGGCGGAUCCCCCAGAAGGGUUGCACCGCCGACCGACCCGAUCUUCUGAGAAGGGUUCGAAGUGAGAGCAUGCCUGGCGGGACCCGAAAGAUUGGUGAACUAUGCCUGAGCGGGGCGAAGCCAGAGGAAACUCUGGUGAGGCCCGCAGCGAUACUGACGUGCAAAUCGUUCGUCUGACUGGGUAUAGGAGCGAAAGACUGAAUCGAACGUCUAGUAGCUGGUUUCCCUCCGAAGUUUCCUCAGGAUAGGCUGGAGCUCGGGCGAGUUCUAUCGGGUAAAAGCCAAUGAUUAAGGCAUCGGGAGGCGCAACGCCCUCGACCUAUUCUCAAACUUAAAUAGGUAGGACGGCGCGGGGUGGGACUGCUUCGCUGAGCGGCCGCCACGGAAUCGGAGAGGUCCAAUGGGCCAUUUUUGGUAAGCAGAAUGGCGAUGGGAUGGAACCGGACAGCCGGUUACGGUGCCCAACUGCAGCGGCUAACCCAAACCCCACAAAGCGGUGUUGUCGAUUAAGAAGCAGGACGGUGGUCAGGAAGUCGAAUGCCGCUAAGGAGGUGUGUAACAACUCACUGCCGAAUCCAACUAGCCCGAAAAAUGGAUGGCGCUUAAGCGCGCGACCUAUUAACCCGAGCCGUCGGGGCAAGAGCACAGCCCCGAUGGGUGAGGAGGGCGCGGCGGCCGCUGCAAAACCCGGGGCGCGAGCCCGGCGGAGCGGCCGCCGUGCAGAUCUGGUGUGUAGUAGCCAAAAUUCAAAUGAGAACUUUGAAGGCCGAAAGGGAAAGGUUCCUGUGAACGGCCUUGCACUGGGUUUAGUCGAUCCUAAGAGACGGGGGAAGCCCGUCCGACAGGCCCGUCCGCGCGCGAGCUUCGAAAGGGAAUCGGGUUAAAAUUCCCGAACCGGGACGCGGCGGCUGACGGCAACGUAGGAGUCCGCGAGACGCGGCGGGGGCCUCGGAAGAGUUAUCAUUUUCUGUUUAACGGCCCGGCCCACCCUGGAAAACGACUCAGUCGGAGGUAGGGUCCAGCGGCCGAAGAGCACCGCACGUCGCGCGGAUGUCGGUGCGCCCCGCGGCCCCGUGAAAAUCGGAGAGACGAGUGCCUCCCGCGCCCCGGUCUACUCAUGAAACCGCAUCAGGUCUCCAAGGUGAACAGCCUCUGGCCAAUGGAAACAAUGUAGGCAAUGGGAAGUCCGGCAAAACGGAUCCGUAACCUCGGGCGAAUAAGGAUUGGCUCGUGAGGGCUGGGCCCGGGGUCCCAGUCCCGAAACCCGUCGCUGCGGCGGAACUGCUCGAGCUGCUCCGCGAGCGAGAGCGGGUCGCCGCUGUGCGGCCGGGGGACGGACUGGAACGGCCCCUCCGGGGGCCUUCCCCGGGCGUCGAACAGUCGACUCAGAAACUGGUACGGACAAGGGAAUCCGACUGUUUAAUUAAAACAAAGCAUUAGCGAUGGUCCCUGCGGAUGCCACGCAAUGUGAUUUUCUGCCCAGUGCUCUGAAUGUCAAAUGUGACAGAAAUUCAACCAAGCGCGGGUAAACGGCAGGCGAGAAACAUGACCUCUUAAGGUAGCCAAAUGCAUCGUCAUCUAAGUUUAGGACGCGCAUGGAAUGGAUUAACGAGAUUCCCACUGUCUCCUUGUCUACUAUCCAGCGAAACCACAAGCCAAGGAACGGGCUUGGCGGAACAGGCGGGAAAAGACCCCUUGUUGAGCUUGACUCUAGUCGGACUAUGCGUGAAAUGGACUGGAGAGGUGUAGGAUAAUGGGGGAGCCGGAAACGGCGAACGGUGAAUAAUACCACUACGUUUAACGUAUUUUACUUAUUCCGUGAAUCGGAGGGCGGGCCUCGCCCCUCUGUUGGACCCACCAAGGGCGCCACGGCGGCCGAUCCGGGCGGAAAACCAAUUUGUCAGGUGGGGAGUUUGGCUGGGGCGAGCACAUCUGUUAAAGAAACGCAGGUGGUGUCUAAGAUGAGCUCAACGAGAACAAGGGAAAUCUCGUGUUGGAACAAAAGGGUAAAAAGCUCGUUUGAUUCUGGAUUUCCAGUACGAAUUACGAACCGUUGAAUAGCGUGGCACUAUCGAUCCUUUAGACCUUUCGGAUUUUGAAGCUAGAGGUGCUCAGAAGAAGUUACCACAGGGAUAACUGGCUGUGGCAGCCAAGCGUUCAUAGCGACGUUGCUUUGAUUCCUUCGAUGUCGGCUCUUCCUAUCAUUGUGGAGCAGAAUUCACCAAGUGUUGGAUUGUACCCACCAAUAGGGAACGUGAGCUGUGGUUUAGACCGCGUGGACAGGUUAGUUUUACCCUACUGAUUGACGCGCGUCGCGAUGGUUAAUUCACCUAGUAUCGAGCAGAAAACCGUUGAUCGCACAAUUGGUCAAUCCGCGCCUUGGUUGAAAAGCCAGUGGCGCGAGCUUCCGUGCGCUGCGAUUAUGACUGAACGCCUCUAUGUCAAGAAUCCGGGCCAGAAGCGACGGCCCGGCGGCGCCCGUCUUGCCGACCCGCAGUAGGGGCCACUCCGGCCCCCAGAGGCACGCGUGCACGUUAUGCCAAGCCCCCUCGCGGAACCGAGCCAUGCCGCGCGGGCCUUGUAAGUACUAUUCCCCACCGGCGUGGGCAGAAUCCUUGCCAGGACGAAUAAAUUACGCGACGGCG
RNAcentral lists this ribosomal RNA (3378 nucleotides) under Hevea brasiliensis (rubber tree). Its description in RNAcentral is "eukaryotic LSU rRNA". It matches the Rfam family "Eukaryotic large subunit ribosomal RNA". The record is from RNAcentral. Lineage: Eukaryota; Viridiplantae; Streptophyta; Magnoliopsida; Malpighiales; Euphorbiaceae.